ACUCCUACGGGAGGCAGCAGUAGGGAAUUUUCCGCAAUGGACGAAAGUCUGACGGAGCAAUGCCGCGUGAGGUGAUGAAGGUUUUCGAAUCGUAAAGCUCUGUUGUAAGGGAAGAAUAGCAGUAGUAGGAAAUGACUACCUGUGUGACGGUACCUUACCAGAAAGCCACGGCUAACUACGUGCCAGCAGCCGCGGUAAUACGUAGGUGGCAAAGCGUUAUCCGGAAUUAUUGGGGCGUAAAGCGCAUGUAGGCGGCUCUUUAAGUCUGAUGUGAAAGCCUGUGGCUCAACCACAGAAUUGCAUUGGAUACUGGAGAGCUAGAAUCUUGGAGAGGUAAGUGGAAUUUCA
This 348-nucleotide ribosomal RNA is filed under the name uncultured bacterium. Its description in RNAcentral is "bacterial SSU rRNA". It matches the Rfam family "Bacterial small subunit ribosomal RNA", at positions 335 to 671 of the family's 1533-position model. The record is from RNAcentral.